CCUGAAAUGGAUGGUUAGUUCAGCGUUCACGUCCGG
RNAcentral lists this small RNA (36 nucleotides) under Bombyx mori (domestic silkworm). Its description in RNAcentral is "ovarian small RNA-14042". Lineage: Eukaryota; Metazoa; Arthropoda; Insecta; Lepidoptera; Bombycidae. The record is from RNAcentral.